RNAcentral lists this long non-coding RNA (214 nucleotides) under Sorghum bicolor (sorghum). Its description in RNAcentral is "long non-coding RNA (SBIC_LNC004734)". Lineage: Eukaryota; Viridiplantae; Streptophyta; Magnoliopsida; Poales; Poaceae. The record is from RNAcentral.
AAAAGACUCAUAUGUGCCCCAGAAACAGUCGCACACAUAAGUAGACAAAUCUCAAAUGUACCAUUGCAGUGUUUAUUACAUAGCGGAACAAUAAUAAAUCACAUAGUCUCAUACAAAGAUCAUAGCAUAAAGUAAACAACGCUCUCGACGGAAGCUCCACACAGGGACACUGUUGACUGGUUGACUUCAAACCUAGUACUCAUAGCGAUAAUCC